This 1014-nucleotide ribosomal RNA is filed under the name Staphylococcus sp. A2.9. Its description in RNAcentral is "bacterial SSU rRNA". It matches the Rfam family "Bacterial small subunit ribosomal RNA", at positions 38 to 1032 of the family's 1533-position model. Lineage: Bacteria; Bacillati; Bacillota; Bacilli; Caryophanales; Staphylococcaceae. The record is from RNAcentral.
GGCGGCGUUCCUAAUACAUGCAAGUCGAGCGAACAGACGAGGAGCUUGCUCCUUUGACGUUAGCGGCGGACGGGUGAGUAACACGUGGGUAACCUACCUAUAAGACUGGGAUAACUUCGGGAAACCGGAGCUAAUACCGGAUAAUAUUUCGAACCGCAUGGUUCGAUAGUGAAAGAUGGCUUUGCUAUCACUUAUAGAUGGACCUGCGCCGUAUUAGCUAGUUGGUAAGGUAACGGCUUACCAAGGCAACGAUACGUAGCCGACCUGAGAGGGUGAUCGGCCACACUGGAACUGAGACACGGUCCAGACUCCUACGGGAGGCAGCAGUAGGGAAUCUUCCGCAAUGGGCGAAAGCCUGACGGAGCAACGCCGCGUGAGUGAUGAAGGUCUUCGGAUCGUAAAACUCUGUUAUUAGGGAAGAACAAACGUGUAAGUAACUGUGCACGUCUUGACGGUACCUAAUCAGAAAGCCACGGCUAACUACGUGCCAGCAGCCGCGGUAAUACGUAGGUGGCAAGCGUUAUCCGGAAUUAUUGGGCGUAAAGCGCGCGUAGGCGGUUUUUUAAGUCUGAUGUGAAAGCCCACGGCUCAACCGUGGAGGGUCAUUGGAAACUGGAAAACUUGAGUGCAGAAGAGGAAAGUGGAAUUCCAUGUGUAGCGGUGAAAUGCGCAGAGAUAUGGAGGAACACCAGUGGCGAAGGCGACUUUCUGGUCUGUAACUGACGCUGAUGUGCGAAAGCGUGGGGAUCAAACAGGAUUAGAUACCCUGGUAGUCCACGCCGUAAACGAUGAGUGCUAAGUGUUAGGGGGUUUCCGCCCCUUAGUGCUGCAGCUAACGCAUUAAGCACUCCGCCUGGGGGAGUACGACCGCAAGGUUGAAACUCAAAGGAAUUGACGGGGACCCGCACAAGCGGUGGAGCAUGUGGUUUAAUUCGGAGCAACGCGAAGAACCUUACCAAAUCUUGACAUCCUUUGACUCUUCUAGAGAUAGAAGUUUCCUUCGGGGGACAAAAU